CACUAGCUGCACACCCGCAUGUUCAUUCGUUUCGUUCGUCAAUUGGUGCUGUUUAUUUCUGAUCGAAAAACCCUUAAAACAUGGAUUUACCCGAUGAAAGGGACCCAAUGUAUUCGUACCUGAUUCAGAGUUGGACGAACAGAACAGCAGAUACUGGUACAGAACAAGAAACUACUCUGCCUCCGUCUAAAAGAAGAACUCCUACAUGCUCUUACUACGGUCAGGCAGGACACCGAAAUCAGUACAGAAAUGGAAAAUAUUUCUGUAAAAAAACGUCAAUAAGACUUGUCGCACGAUUAAUUAAUAAGUAAUCAAGUCGCCUACUUUCACUGGGGUGAGAUAAAUCAUCAAUAACUGGCCACCCGUAAAUUGACGCAUUGUAUUAUUAUUAUUGUGUCCAGUUAUGACGAUUUUAUACCCCAAUUGGUUUUUUUUUAGAUUGACAGCACGUUGAUUUAUCAUUAAAGAUUAUUUCAACAAAGACUUAAAUUAUAAUUAAUAGUUACAACUACAAAA
Molecule: long non-coding RNA, 516 nt
Organism: Cydia pomonella (codling moth)
Lineage: Eukaryota; Metazoa; Arthropoda; Insecta; Lepidoptera; Tortricidae
Exons: 2
Source: RefSeq, a predicted model, not a curated record